This 782-nucleotide long non-coding RNA is filed under the name Capra hircus (goat). RNAcentral describes it as "lncRNA (ENSCHIG00000004739.1)". The record is from RNAcentral. Lineage: Eukaryota; Metazoa; Chordata; Mammalia; Artiodactyla; Bovidae.
UCAGAGGAAGAAAGAGCACUCAGAGGAGGAAGGAGCACUCAGAGGAGGAAGGAGCAUUCAGAGGAGGAAGGAGCACUCAGUCAGAGGAGGCGGAUCCCAGGGGAAGGAGGUGCAAAAAGCUGAGCCACAGGCAAGAAGGGAUGCCUCCCAGGACUGAGCAGAAGGGUUCAGUGAAAGAAAACCCCAGAAACUUCCUGAGAGACACAGCCCGCCUUCAGAGGACACGUUCCUUCAGCAUGAAGCACAGUGUCGUCCUGUUGGGUUAAAGCGCAGGAGAGCCAGCCAAGAAGUAAUUCUGGAGAAGCGUUCUCAAGGGCCUGUCAGUGGAUUCUCUGGGCUCUGGUCCUAGUCUUUACCCCAUAUUCAACUGGAUGGCAAGAAGUAGUCUGCUCAGAAGUCUCACUGAGUACAUCUUCCUCAUCUCCUAAGAGCUUGGGUGAAGUGUCAGUGCCUAGGAUUUCAGUUUCACUAGGACUUUUGGAUGAGAGUCUGAUUCCAUCAGUAGGAGAUACCUACGAGAGACUUGCAUUUGAACUGAGUUGUUUAGAGAGAAAAGAAGGGUGUGGGGUAUUCAUCCGGCAGACUUGGAUCUUGUCAGCACCAGCAAGUUCUAGAAUCAACAUCUAUGGUGGCUGCUUCUCAUUAGGCAGAUGGAUUCCUAUGCUGGCAGCUUCCUGAGAUGGCAGAGAGUUGUUGUUCUGAAGGGGCAGCUGUGGUAGCAGCUCCUGAUUCUGCAGCUGCCUCUUGUGCGUGCAUCAGGUGCCUUAACUGUUUAAUUCUGG